RNAcentral lists this ribosomal RNA (731 nucleotides) under uncultured Alteromonas sp. RNAcentral describes it as "bacterial SSU rRNA". It matches the Rfam family "Bacterial small subunit ribosomal RNA", at positions 131 to 860 of the family's 1533-position model. The record is from RNAcentral. Lineage: Bacteria; Pseudomonadati; Pseudomonadota; Gammaproteobacteria; Alteromonadales; Alteromonadaceae.
UUUGCGAGGGGGAUAACAGUUGGAAACGACUGCUAAUACCGCAUAAUGUCUUCGGACCAAACGGGGCUUCGGCUCCGGCGCAAAGAGAGGCCCAAGUGAGAUUAGCUAGUUGGUAAGGUAACGGCUUACCAAGGCGACGAUCUCUAGCUGUUCUGAGAGGAAGAUCAGCCACACUGGGACUGAGACACGGCCCAGACUCCUACGGGAGGCAGCAGUGGGGAAUAUUGCACAAUGGGGGAAACCCUGAUGCAGCCAUGCCGCGUGUGUGAAGAAGGCCUUCGGGUUGUAAAGCACUUUCAGUUGUGAGGAAAAGUUAGUAGUUAAUACCUGCUAGCCGUGACGUUAACAACAGAAGAAGCACCGGCUAACUCCGUGCCAGCAGCCGCGGUAAUACGGAGGGUGCGAGCGUUAAUCGGAAAUACUGGGCGUAAAGCGCACGCAGGCGGUUUGUUAAGCUAGAUGUGAAAGCCCCGGGCUCAACCUGGGAUGGUCAUUUAGAACUGGCAGACUAGAGUCUUGGAGAGGGGAGUGGAAUUCCAGGUGUAGCGGUGAAAUGCGUAGAUAUCUGGAGGAACAUCAGUGGCGAAGGCGACUCCCUGGCCAAAGACUGACGCUCAUGUGCGAAAGUGUGGGUAGCGAACAGGAUAUAGAUACCCUGGUAGUCCACACCGUAAACGCUGUCUACUAGCUGUGUGUGUCUAUAAAAUGCGUGCGUAGCGAAGCUAACGCGC